Molecule: non-coding RNA, 78 nt
Organism: Crinalium epipsammum PCC 9333
Lineage: Bacteria; Bacillati; Cyanobacteriota; Cyanophyceae; Gomontiellales; Gomontiellaceae
Source: Rfam
GGGAGCCGGAUGCACGGAAACGGGCACGUCCGGAUCUAAAUGAGAGGGGCGGGAGAUAAUACUCCCCCUCGACUCAAC